GAGGGUAUAGCUCAGUGGCAAAGUGCAUGCUUAGCAAGCACAAGGUCCUGGGCUCAAUCCCCAGUACCUCUA
Molecule: transfer RNA, 72 nt
Filed under: Camelus bactrianus (Bactrian camel)
Lineage: Eukaryota; Metazoa; Chordata; Mammalia; Artiodactyla; Camelidae
Also listed under: 2 other names
Rfam family: tRNA
About the family: Transfer RNA (tRNA) molecules are approximately 80 nucleotides in length. Their secondary structure includes four short double-helical elements and three loops (D, anti-codon, and T loops).
Source: Rfam by way of RNAcentral